Molecule: ribosomal RNA, 587 nt
Filed under: uncultured bacterium
Lineage: Bacteria
Description: bacterial SSU rRNA
Rfam family: Bacterial small subunit ribosomal RNA
Source: RNAcentral
CCUACGGGAGGCAGCAGUGGGGAAUUUUGGACAAUGGGCGAAAGCCUGAUCCAGCAAUGCCGCGUGCAGGAAGAAGGCCUUCGGGUUGUAAACUGCUUUUGUACGGAACGAAACGGUCUGCUUUAAUACAGUGGGCUAAUGACGGUACCGUAAGAAUAAGCACCGGCUAACUACGUGCCAGCAGCCGCGGUAAUACGUAGGGUGCGAGCGUUAAUCGGAAUUACUGGGCGUAAAGCGUGCGCAGGCGGUUAUAUAAGACAGUUGUGAAAUCCCCGGGCUCAACCUGGGAAUUGCAUCUGUGACUGUAUAGCUAGAGUACGGUAGAGGGGGAUGGAAUUCCGCGUGUAGCAGUGAAAUGCGUAGAUAUGCGGAGGAACACCGAUGGCGAAGGCAAUCCCCUGGACCUGUACUGACGCUCAUGCACGAAAGCGUGGGGAGCAAACAGGAUUAGAUACCCUGGUAGUCCACGCCCUAAACGAUGUCAACUGGUUGUUGGGUGCAUUAGUACUCAGUAACGAAGCUAACGCGUGAAGUUGACCGCCUGGGGAGUACGGCCGGCAAGGUUGAAACUCGAAAGGAAUUGACGG